This 28-nucleotide non-coding RNA is filed under the name Rattus norvegicus (Norway rat). The record is from RNAcentral. Lineage: Eukaryota; Metazoa; Chordata; Mammalia; Rodentia; Muridae.
UGGGCCUGGCAUGUUGUUCACGUACCCA